Molecule: long non-coding RNA, 969 nt
Filed under: Lactuca sativa (garden lettuce)
Lineage: Eukaryota; Viridiplantae; Streptophyta; Magnoliopsida; Asterales; Asteraceae
Description: long non-coding RNA (LSAT_LNC000693)
Source: RNAcentral
UAGCCACUGCUGCAUUUCAUGAUUAUGAGAUAUGGCAGAUGGAUGUCAAGACCGCUUUCCUUAAUGGGAAGUCGGCUGACGAUGUUUACAUGGCUCAGCCAGAGGGUUUUGUCGAUACGAAGCAUCUCAAUAGAGUGUGCAAGCUUGAGAAGUCCAUUUAUGGGCUUAAGUAAGCGUCUCGCAGAUGGAAUCUCUGCUUCGAUGAGAACGUCAAAGAUUUUAGAUUUGUACGAAGCGAAGAUGAAUCAUGUGUAUAUGUCAAAGCCAGGGGAGUAUAGUUAGCUUCCUCGUUUUGUAUGUCGAUGACAUACUACUAAUAGGAAACGACGUCCCGACACUGCAGGAGGUUAAGUCCUGGCUGGGGAAGUGUUUCGCUAUGAAGGACCUUGGAGAGGCUUCCUAUAUUUUGGGAAUAAGGAUAGUGAGAGAAAGAAGUAAGAGACUAAUAGGACUUAGUCAGAACACUUACUUAGAUAAGGUACUAAAACGUUUUAGUAUGGAAAACUCGAAGAAGGGAGAAUUACCGAUACAAAGUAAUGCCAAGUUGAGUAAGACUCAAAGUCCGAGUACCGAAGCUGAGAUAGCAGAAAUAAGCCGAGUACCAUACGCUUCCGCUGUUGGCUCAAUCAUGUGUGCUAUGACUUGUACUCACCCUGCUGUAGCCUUUGCUUUGAGCAUGGUCAGUAGAUAUCAAGGGAACCCUGACAGAGCCCAUUGGAUUGCGGUCAAGAAUAUCCAUAAGUACCUUCGGAGGACCAAGGAAUGGUUUUUAGUCCUCGGGUGGAGUGAUGACUUAAAGGUGCGAGGGUAUAGUGACGCCAGCUUCCAGACCGACAGGGACAACUACCGUUCGCAGUCGGGCUGGGUCUUUACCCUNGAGGGUAUAGUGAUGCCAGUUUUCAGACCGACAGGGACAACUACCAUUCGUAGUCGGGCUGCGUCUUUAACCUUAAUGGAGGAGCAGUGACU